Molecule: ribosomal RNA, 467 nt
Filed under: uncultured bacterium
Lineage: Bacteria
Description: partial 16S ribosomal RNA
Rfam family: Bacterial small subunit ribosomal RNA
Source: RNAcentral
GAUGAACGCUGGCGGCGUGCUUAACACAUGCAAGUCGAACGGAAAGGCUCCUGCUUGCAGGGGUACUCGAGUGGCGAACGGGUGAGUAACACGUGGGUGAUCUGCCCUGCACUUCGGGAUAAGCCUGGGAAACUGGGUCUAAUACCGGAUAGGACCACAUUUUGGAUGGUGUGGUGGAAAGCUUUUCGGUGUGGGAUGAGCUCGCGGCCUAUCAGCUUGUUGGUGGGGUAAUGGCCUACCAAGGCGUCGACGGGUAGCCGGCCUGAGAGGGUGUACGGCCACAUUGGGACUGAGAUACGGCCCAGACUCCUACGGGAGGCAGCAGUGGGGAAUAUUGCACAAUGGGCGCAAGCCUGAUGCAGCGACGCCGCGUGGGGGAUGACGGCCUUCGGGUUGUAAACUCCUUUCGCUAGGGACGAAGCGUUUUUGUGACGGUACCUGGAGAAGAAGCACCGGCUAACUACGUG